This 465-nucleotide ribosomal RNA is filed under the name uncultured bacterium. RNAcentral describes it as "partial 16S ribosomal RNA". It matches the Rfam family "Bacterial small subunit ribosomal RNA", at positions 338 to 795 of the family's 1533-position model. The record is from RNAcentral.
CCUACGGGAGGCAGCAGUAGGGAAUUUUCCACAAUGGGCGAAAGCCUGAUGGAGCAACGCCGCGUGGGUGAAGAAGGUCUUCUGAUCGUAAAACCCUGUUGUUAGAGAAGAAAGUGCGUGAGAGUAACUGUUCACGUUUCGACGGUAUCUAACCAGAAAGCCACGGCUAACUACGUGCCAGCAGCCGCGGUAAUACGUAGGUGGCAAGCGUUAUCCGGAUUUAUUGGGCGUAAAGGGAACGCAGGCGGUCUUUUAAGUCUGAUGUGAAAGCCUUCGGCUUAACCGGAGUAGUGCAUUGGAAACUGGGAGACUUGAGUGCAGAAGAGGAGAGUGGAACUCCAUGUGUAGCGGUGAAAUGCGUAGAUAUAUGGAAGAACACCAGUGGCGAAGGCGGCUCUCUGGGCUGUAACUGACGCUGAGGUUCGAAAGCGUGGGUAGCAAACAGGAUUAGAUACCCUGGUAGUC